AGAGUUUGAUCAUGGCUCAGAACGAACGCUGGCGGCAGGCUUAACACAUGCAAGUCGAACGCGUGUAGCAAUACACGAGUGGCGCACGGGUGAGUAACGCGUGGAUAUCUGCCUUUUGGUUCGGAAUAACCCCGGGAAACUGGGGCUAAUACCGGAUGGUUCCUUCGGGAUAAAGAUUUAUCGCCAAAAGAUGAGUCCGCGUACGAUUAGCUAGUUGGUGAGGUAAUGGCUCACCAAGGCGACGAUCGUUAGCUGGUCUGAGAGGACGAUCAGCCACACUGGGACUGAGACACGGCCCAGACUCCUACGGGAGGCAGCAGUGGGGAAUAUUGGACAAUGGGGGCAACCCUGAUCCAGCCAUGCCGCGUGAGUGAUGAAGGCCUUCGGGUUGUAAAGCUCUUUUGGCGGGGACGAUGAUGACGGUACCCGCAGAAUAAGCCCCGGCUAACUUCGUGCCAGCCGCCGCGGUAAUACA
RNAcentral lists this ribosomal RNA (475 nucleotides) under uncultured bacterium. RNAcentral describes it as "bacterial SSU rRNA". It matches the Rfam family "Bacterial small subunit ribosomal RNA", at positions 8 to 527 of the family's 1533-position model. The record is from RNAcentral.